UCUGCAGAAAAUGAGUUGAUAGUACACGGU
Molecule: non-coding RNA, 30 nt
Filed under: Rattus norvegicus (Norway rat)
Lineage: Eukaryota; Metazoa; Chordata; Mammalia; Rodentia; Muridae
Source: RNAcentral